RNAcentral lists this long non-coding RNA (619 nucleotides) under Pogona vitticeps (central bearded dragon). RNAcentral describes it as "lncRNA (ENSPVIG00000005395.1)". The record is from RNAcentral. Lineage: Eukaryota; Metazoa; Chordata; Lepidosauria; Squamata; Agamidae.
AGCUUUUAAAUGGUGGUGGUUGUUUGCAAGAGGCUGGGGGUAGGGAAUGACCAUUGUGAUCCACAAAUACGUUUAUUGGGGCAAACCAGGUUGGCCAACACUCAGAAUCCCCAGACUGUGUUGUCAGUGAUAAAGAACUGUGGGGAUUGUAGUCUAAAACAUCUGGAGUGCCAAAGGGUCGCCCUCCCUGCCAUAGGCCAUUGCUCAACAGGCGGGAAACUUGCAAUGCGAACAUCAUGUUGUCAUUCAGGAACACCUUGGGCAAUGCCAAGCCUCGGCAAGACACCUGGUGCCAUUCGGGAGAACUGGUGCUGCCUGCCACCUCUGCCAAACAGAGUAUACCCAGAGAAGGCCUCUUUCACCAGGAGUCCCUCAGAUAUGGAACCAGCCCUGGAUUUUCUGGCUCAAGUAGCUCUAAUACAAAUGCGGAUACUAGAAGGUGCUGUAUCUCCCAGAGGAUGUUUCCACAGAAAUGCCACGCGCAGCCUUCUGUUUGCAGAGCAGCCAGCCAGUUCCCCAAAGGAAGUGUACAAGCCAGUCAUGAAGCUGUUUGAACAAUGCCACCUAUAAUGUUUCUUAAUGCUGCUCACUGUCAACGUCCUUCUCCAGAUUCAGGUAA